GAUGAACGCUAGCGGCAGGCCUAAUACAUGCAAGUCGGACGGGAUUCAGGAGCUUGCUUCUGAUGAGAGUGGCGCACGGGUGCGUAACACGUAUGUAACCUACCUUUAUCAGGGGGAUAGCCUCUCGAAAGAGAGAUUAAGCCCGCAUAAAAUCACAGCACAGCAUUGUGUAAUGAUCAAAUAUUUAUAGGAUAAAGAUGGGCAUGCGGAACAUUAGCUAGAUGGCGGGGUAACGGCCCACCAUGGCGACGAUGUUUAGGGGAUCUGAGAGGAUGGCCCCCCACACUGGAACUGAGACACGGACCAGACUCCUACGGGAGGCAGCAGUAAGGAAUAUUGGUCAAUGGGCGGAAGCCUGAACCAGCCAUGCCGCGUGCAGGAAGACGGCCCUACGGGUUGUAAACUGCUUUUAUACGGGAAUAAACCCAGAUACGUGUAUCUGGCUGAAUGUACUGUAAGAAUAAGGAUCGGCUAACUCCGUG
Molecule: ribosomal RNA, 482 nt
Filed under: uncultured bacterium
Lineage: Bacteria
Description: partial 16S ribosomal RNA
Rfam family: Bacterial small subunit ribosomal RNA
Source: RNAcentral